GUACUCUCUUUGGCAGCACGUAUACUGAAAUUGAAAUGACACAGAGGAGAUUAGCAUGGCCCCUGUGCAAGGAUGACAUGCAAAUUUGUGAAGCGUUCCAUAUAAUA
Molecule: small nuclear RNA, 107 nt
Organism: Cercocebus atys (sooty mangabey)
Lineage: Eukaryota; Metazoa; Chordata; Mammalia; Primates; Cercopithecidae
Source: Ensembl